RNAcentral lists this ribosomal RNA (253 nucleotides) under uncultured bacterium. RNAcentral's name for it is "partial 16S ribosomal RNA". It matches the Rfam family "Bacterial small subunit ribosomal RNA", at positions 524 to 776 of the family's 1533-position model. The record is from RNAcentral.
UACGUAGGGUGCAAGCGUUAAUCGGAAUUACUGGGCGUAAAGGGCUCGUAGGCGGCCAACUAAGUCAGACGUGAAAUCCCCAGGCUUAACCUGGGAACUGCGUCUGAUACUGGAUGGCUUGAAUUCGGGAGAGGGAUGCAGAAUUCCAGGUGUAGCGGUGAAAUGCGUAGAUAUCUGGAGGAAUACCGGUGGCGAAGGCGGCAUCCUGGACCGACAUUGACGCUGAUGAGCGAAAGCUAGGGGAGCAAACGGG